Molecule: ribosomal RNA, 373 nt
Filed under: uncultured bacterium
Lineage: Bacteria
Description: bacterial SSU rRNA
Rfam family: Bacterial small subunit ribosomal RNA
Source: RNAcentral
GACGAACGCUGGCGGCGUGCUUAACACAUGCAAGUCGAGCGGUAAGGCCCUUUCGGGGGUACACGAGCGGCGAACGGGUGAGUAACACGUGGGUGACCUGCCCUUAGCUCUGGGAUAAGCCUGGGAAACUGGGUCUAAUACCGGAUAUGACUCCAUGACGCAUGUUGUGGGGUGGAAAGCCUUGUGCGGCUAGGGAUGGGCCCGCGGCCUAUCAGCUUGUUGGUGGGGUGANGGCCUACCAAGGCGACGACGGGUAGCCGGCCUGAGAGGGCGACCGGCCACACUGGGGCUGAGACACGGCCCAGACUCCUACGGGAGGCAGCAGUGGGGAAUCUUGCGCAAUGGGCGAAAGCCUGACGCAGCGACGCCGCGU